UACGUAGGGGGCUAGCGUUGUCCGGAAUCAUUGGGCGUAAAGCGCGCGUAGGCGGCCCGGUAAGUCCGCUGUGAAAGUCAAAGGCUCAACCUUUGAAUGUCAGCGGAUACUGCCGGGCUAGAGUCCGGAAGAGGCGAGUGGAACUCCUGGUGUAGCGGUGGAAUGCGCAGAUAUCGGGAGGAACACCAAUGGCGAAGGCAGCUCGCUGGGACGUGACUGACGCUGAGACGCGAAAGCGUGGGGAGCAAACAGG
RNAcentral lists this ribosomal RNA (253 nucleotides) under uncultured bacterium. Its description in RNAcentral is "partial 16S ribosomal RNA". It matches the Rfam family "Bacterial small subunit ribosomal RNA", at positions 524 to 776 of the family's 1533-position model. The record is from RNAcentral.